Long non-coding RNA from Cimex lectularius (bed bug), 521 nucleotides. RefSeq lists it as uncharacterized. NCBI's taxonomy places the organism in Eukaryota, Metazoa, Arthropoda, Insecta, Hemiptera, Cimicidae. The record is from RefSeq and is a predicted model, not a curated record. The transcript has 2 exons.
AUAAUAAAAUAAAUAAAUAUAUAUAUAUAAUAGACAAUAAUAUAUUCUUUAAAAUAUGAAUUAUUUACAAUCAAACGAUGAAACCACAUUAUGAAAGAAAGCAGAACAAAAAGGGUUUUUGGGGAGUUGGUGCAGAAGACAAUUCUUUCCUCCACUACGAACUAAACAGGUCUAUCAUGGAGCCCCUACAGCUUAUAGCCAUAUAUGUGGGGAAGUGUGCUUUUACUUGUAAAACUGAGCACUUUCCGUGGGGCCUCUUCAUGGAUCUCCUUCGGUAUGAAAAAUGUCCUGCCGAAGUGGCUGUACCAUAGACAUCUAACACUACAUUCACAAAGGAUAUGUGUAGGUAUCUCUGGUUUCUCCUGACAGAGCUAGCACGUUUCCGUCCCAGCCUUACUCCUUAAGGUGAUAGUUAAGGUAUAGAGGCAUAUAAUUAUCCUCACAAUCUGCCUGUUUAGGGAGAGAGGAGUCCUUUUGCCUUAAAUUUUGAGAUGUUUAUAAAUCUCUUGGCUUGCCUCAAA